This 364-nucleotide ribosomal RNA is filed under the name Clostridioides difficile. Its description in RNAcentral is "bacterial SSU rRNA". It matches the Rfam family "Bacterial small subunit ribosomal RNA", at positions 1 to 372 of the family's 1533-position model. Lineage: Bacteria; Bacillati; Bacillota; Clostridia; Peptostreptococcales; Peptostreptococcaceae. The record is from RNAcentral.
UUUUAUUUGAGAGUUUGAUCCUGGCUCAGGAUGAACGCUGGCGGCGUGCCUAACACAUGCAAGUUGAGCGAUUUACUUCGGUAAAGAGCGGCGGACGGGUGAGUAACGCGUGGGUAACCUACCCUGUACACCCGGAUAACAUACCGGAAGGUACGAUAAUACGGAAUAAUAUAUUUGAGAGGAAUCUCGUGAAUAUCAAAGGUGAGCCAGUACAGGAUGGACCCGCGUCUGAUUAGCUAGUUGGUAAGGUAACGGCUUACCAAGGCGACGAUCAGUAGCCGACCUGAGAGGGUGAUCGGCCACAUUGGAACUGAGACACGGUCCAAACUCCUACGGGAGGCAGCAGUGGGGAAUAUUGCACAAU